CAGACUUGGGCUUGGUUAAUCAUCUGGGGUUCUCCCCAGUGCACUUUUCCAGUCCAGGCCAGCAUCAGUUUGAGUGGUUAGAUAAAGGCUUAGAGAAUGUGGCCCUCUUCGGGGGGUGUUAUAGCUCUAGGUGCAAUGUAGCCUACUUGGACUGAGGACCGCGCUUCGGCUAGGAUGCUGGCGUAAUGGUUGUAAGCGA
Molecule: ribosomal RNA, 199 nt
Filed under: Sclerotiniaceae sp.
Lineage: Eukaryota; Fungi; Ascomycota; Leotiomycetes; Helotiales; Sclerotiniaceae
Description: partial large subunit ribosomal RNA
Source: RNAcentral